GGGCCCGAGAUGCCCCACCGGAUGGCUGGGGGAACCACUACUGACCGGCAGCGAUGCGGGUCUUGGGGUGCAGCCGCACUGCGGCAGGGAACCUGACCUCCCUAACCCGACAGCUCACCUCAGCGGCGCCAGUCAGGAAAGGA
RNAcentral lists this small RNA (143 nucleotides) under Nostocoides australiense. RNAcentral's name for it is "Tetrasphaera australiensis c-di-AMP sequence". It matches the Rfam family "c-di-AMP riboswitch aptamer (ydaO/yuaA leader)". Rfam says of the family: This family represents a conserved RNA structure found upstream of the ydaO and yuaA genes in Bacillus subtilis and related genes in other bacteria. The record is from RNAcentral. RNAcentral also lists the same sequence under 1 other name. Lineage: Bacteria; Bacillati; Actinomycetota; Actinomycetes; Micrococcales; Intrasporangiaceae.